RNAcentral lists this ribosomal RNA (680 nucleotides) under Enterococcus faecium. Its description in RNAcentral is "bacterial SSU rRNA". It matches the Rfam family "Bacterial small subunit ribosomal RNA", at positions 75 to 734 of the family's 1533-position model. The record is from RNAcentral. Lineage: Bacteria; Bacillati; Bacillota; Bacilli; Lactobacillales; Enterococcaceae.
GGAGCUUGCUCCACCGGAAAAAGAGGAGUGGCGAACGGGUGAGUAACACGUGGGUAACCUGCCCAUCAGAAGGGGAUAACACUUGGAAACAGGUGCUAAUACCGUAUAACAAUCGAAACCGCAUGGUUUUGAUUUGAAAGGCGCUUUCGGGUGUCGCUGAUGGAUGGACCCGCGGUGCAUUAGCUAGUUGGUGAGGUAACGGCUCACCAAGGCCACGAUGCAUAGCCGACCUGAGAGGGUGAUCGGCCACAUUGGGACUGAGACACGGCCCAAACUCCUACGGGAGGCAGCAGUAGGGAAUCUUCGGCAAUGGACGAAAGUCUGACCGAGCAACGCCGCGUGAGUGAAGAAGGUUUUCGGAUCGUAAAACUCUGUUGUUAGAGAAGAACAAGGAUGAGAGUAACUGUUCAUCCCUUGACGGUAUCUAACCAGAAAGCCACGGCUAACUACGUGCCAGCAGCCGCGGUAAUACGUAGGUGGCAAGCGUUGUCCGGAUUUAUUGGGCGUAAAGCGAGCGCAGGCGGUUUCUUAAGUCUGAUGUGAAAGCCCCCGGCUCAACCGGGGAGGGUCAUUGGAAACUGGGAGACUUGAGUGCAGAAGAGGAGAGUGGAAUUCCAUGUGUAGCGGUGAAAUGCGUAGAUAUAUGGAGGAACACCAGUGGCGAAGGCGGCUCUCUGGUC